AUUGAACGCUGGCGGCAGGCCUAACACAUGCAAGUCGAGCGGAUGAAGGGAGCUUGCUCCUGGAUUCAGCGGCGGACGGGUGAGUAAUGCCUAGGAAUCUGCCUGGUAGUGGGGGAUAACGUCCGGAAACGGGCGCUAAUACCGCAUACUACCUGGUGGAGAAAUUGGGGGAUCUUCGGACCUCACGCUAUCAGAUGAGCCUAGGUCGGCUUAGCUAGUUGGUGGGGUAAAGGCCUACCAAGGGGACGAUCCGUAACUGGUCUGAGAGGAUGAUCAGUCACACUGGAACUGAGACACGGUCCAGCCUCCGACGGGAGGCAGCAGUGGGGAAUAUUGGACAAUGGGCGAAAGCCUGAUCCAGCCAUGCCGCGUGUGUGAAGAAGGUCUUCGGAUUGUAAAGCACUUCAAGUUGGGAGGAAGGGCAGUAAGUUCAUACCUUGCUGUUUUGACGUUACCAACAGAAUAAGCACCGGCUAACUUCGUG
Molecule: ribosomal RNA, 484 nt
Filed under: uncultured bacterium
Lineage: Bacteria
Description: partial 16S ribosomal RNA
Rfam family: Bacterial small subunit ribosomal RNA
Source: RNAcentral